Molecule: ribosomal RNA, 549 nt
Filed under: Melanotaenia parkinsoni (Parkinson's rainbowfish)
Lineage: Eukaryota; Metazoa; Chordata; Actinopteri; Atheriniformes; Melanotaeniidae
Description: partial large subunit ribosomal RNA
Rfam family: Bacterial large subunit ribosomal RNA
Source: RNAcentral
UAAGAGGUCCCGCCUGCCCUGUGACUAUACGUUUAACGGCCGCGGUAUCUUGACCGUGCGAAGGUAGCGCAAUCACUUGUCUUUUAAAUGAAGACCUGUAUGAAUGGCACAACGAGGGCUCAACUGUCUCCUUUUUCCAGUCAAUGAAAUUGAUCUCCCCGUGCAGAAGCGGGGAUAAGCCCAUAAGACGAGAAGACCCUGUGGAGCUUUAGACAAGAGCAGCUCACUCUCAGCUUCCUCUAAAAAAAGAGUAAGACUAAUGUGAAUCCUACCCUAAUGUCUUUGGUUGGGGCGACCGCGGGGCACCAAAAACCCCCCACGUGGAAUAGGAGAACCCUCCCACAACCAAGAGCGACAGCUCUAAGUAACAGAACCUCUGACCCUCAAGAUCCGGUUUACCGAUCAACGAAACAAGUUACCCCAGGGAUAACAGCGCAAUCCUCUUCUAGAGACCUUAUCAACAAGAGGGUUUACGACCUCGAUGUUGGAUCAGGACAUCCUAAUGGUGCAGCCGCUAUUAAGGGUUCGUUUGUUCAACGAUUAAAGUCC